CCAGCUCCAAUAGCGUAUAUUAAAGUUGUUGCAGUUAAAAAGCUCGUAGUUGAAUGUGGAGUGGUGGUGCGGGGUGAGUCGAAAGACUACACUCGACAUUUGCACCGUCACUCUCUGAAAGCGAUUGGCCGGUGUGUUGCCUGUGAGGGUGAUGCAUGUGUGUUGAUGGUGAAUGAUUACUUUGACGAAAUUAGAGUGUUUAUGGCAGGCUGUGAAGCUUGAAUAUAUUAGCAUGGAAUAAUGAAAUAGGACCAGUUGUUCUGUUUCGUUGGUUUGAGGAUGACGGUAAUGAUGAAUAGGGACAGUUGGGGGCAUUAGUAUUUCAUAGUCAGAGGUGAAAUUCUUGGAUUUAUGAAAGACUGACUGAUGCGAAAGCGUUUGCCAAGGAUGUUCCCA
Molecule: ribosomal RNA, 396 nt
Filed under: uncultured Chytridiomycota
Lineage: Eukaryota; Fungi; Chytridiomycota
Description: SSU rRNA
Rfam family: Eukaryotic small subunit ribosomal RNA
Source: RNAcentral